Homo sapiens (human) is the source of this 803-nucleotide long non-coding RNA. RefSeq annotates it as CALHM6 antisense RNA 1. The record is from RefSeq and is marked validated. NCBI's taxonomy places the organism in Eukaryota, Metazoa, Chordata, Mammalia, Primates, Hominidae. The transcript is spliced from 2 exons.
CAUAACUCAGGAGUGCUGUUUAUACCAGAUGAAUCUACAAAGCCAAGAACAGGAAUCACCGUAUCUCCUUCAGUAGACCUGAUACUAUAUGUCAUAACACUGUCAAUGCCUGGAGGAGAGUAAAAUUCUGACUCUGACCACCAAGCUGAUCUGCACAGAAGGGGAUACAUGAUUAUUCAAAGAAUGCUAGUUGAACCCAAAAUUUCAAACUGCAGCUACAUCUAUCUAAUGUUGUUUCCUCCACCUUCAGUUUUCUCAAGCAGCGUUGUUCUGACACAAACACUGUAACCACUUUUGUGAUAUUGAGCCUUACUCUGUGUGACUCCAGACUGAGCUGAGGUGUGCUUGAAAGAACAUGGGCUUUGAAGUCAAGUGCAUCUUGUCUGUGGUGUGUUUAACAAGUAUGCCCCUCUGAGACACAGCAUCCUUAUUUGUAAAAGAAGGAUAAUAGUGCCCACUUUUCAAGAUUACUGACAUGAGUAGAUUGAGUAGCAUAUGUAAAGUGCCUUUACAUAUAGGAUAUGUCUGUUAAAUGAAUGAUCAGUGUGAGAGUUUUCCCCUUAAAAUGCAAUUUGGGGAAUAGACAACAAAUAAUUACAUUGUACAUAACCUAAGAAUCUUGAUGAAUACUGAAUUUUGAAUUUUAAACGAGGAUCAAUUCAGUGGAUAGUAUUAAGUGACUCAAUGACUCUGCUACCUUAAGAGAAUUGGUGUACACCUUAGCUGUCUGCUUCACCACAAGGAGAGUAUCUGGAUAUGGAGCUUGGGUGGGCAGUUCACAAUGAAAUGGUUCUUAUUGGUGC